UUUAAACUAUUAACGAGUUGUUGGUUUUCAGUAGUGACUCCUGGGGCUUGUAGUGCUCAUUAAAGUGCCUUGGGGUCCAGAAAACGCCCAGACAGGGCUGUGAGAUAGGAGAUGGGGAUGAAGGAGACCGAGCCCAAACUCUCUGAGGCAGCCGGGUACUAAGGGUGCACCUGAGACUUUGGGCGUCUGAACGGCAGUAGGACACUGGGAGUGUUCGAAAGCCAAAGUGUGGGCUGAGGCAGCAUAUGCAAAUCAAGAUGCUUUUACGUGAGCUUAAUAUAUGACAAUACUGAUUCAUGAGUUCUUCAGCCUUCUUGAGCUGGCUGAAGACGAAGUCUUGCCACGUGUUAAGGUCCUUAAAUCUUUAUGCUCUGAAAUGCUUUUUUUUUCAUGUUUCCAUACUCUUGAAUCGCUUGGAGCAUGAUGUCGGAAUAGUAGAGGCACACCGAUGAGUGACAAACAUUAUCAAAGGUACCCACUUCCUUGGCAGAUGUAAAUUCCCAGGAAAUGGAGUGUAGAAGACAUGAAAAUGUAAUCUACCAAGAACCUGGGUUUGGAACAAGCAGUAUGUAUUAAGACUACAAACAAGCAAACAAUCUCAAAAUUUAAACAAUUUUUUUUUUCUUUUUCCUGUAACUCCAUUUGAAAUGAUAACAAGAACUUUUCUGCCAGCUCCACAGACUCUGUAUGGGAUUUUGAACAGGGUUUGUCCAUGUGCAUUUUCAGCAGCAGCUCUGGCCAGGGCCCCUUUUCCUCACCUCUGUUCCAGUUCCUCCCAUGUGAGAGAACAGCUGAAGGAGCCAUUCACUCGGUAGCUGAACAAAGGACAGACUUGGCUGUUUUUCAGCUGGUUUGUUUUUUCAUUAUUACCACUGGUAACAAUCUCAUAGGUGAAAUAGCAGUUAUAAAGUCUGUGUGUUUGGUUGAUACCCUUAAUGACAGUAUUGCUUCAUCACCAUGAGUUUAUCCAGCUUGUCUGAUUACAAUGUGCAUAAAUAAUUCAGCUGAUAAAUCAUGUAAGUGAUUAGAAUGUCUCUCUUUUUUUUUGUUGUUGCUGUUUUCUCUGCUGUGUUGGGCUUAUGGGCAUAUGCUUUGGUAAAAGGUACCAGUAACACACCACUUAAUGGGGUUGUUUUAGUUUGUGCUGACUGGAGCACAAAUGUUUCUAGGUUUCAGUUUGACAUACACUUAGAUCAGUGUUGUUCCCACAAAAAGUACUCUGUGCUGCCUCUCCCUGAAUGCUUGAUUUUGGAUCCAACAAAAACUAUAUGAACAAACACAUUUCUGCUGUCCUGUAGUGAGCUGAUACUGUUGAAAACUUGUUUUUCAGCUACAUCAGUGAUACCCCGUCUCGGUCACUGAGCAGGUGACCAAUUCUUGUGCUGGCACAUCAGAGGAGGAAUUGAGGGGACAUAACUAAUACCCUGGGGAGGAAGAAGGACCUCUUUUGUUUUCAGCCGCAGGACCAGCUUAAUUGCAUGUUGGCGUCAUAUUAAGGCUUCAUUGAAGUCAUGCAAGAAGGUACACGUGAGGUCUAGAAUUUUGUUCAAGUGGGGUACUAACUGUGAUUAAAUACCUCCAGGGAGCAGACCUGCUGUAUGUGUGCCUUUAUAUAGUCAUCCUUAAGAGGGUAUUCAAAUUUUAAUAAACUAGCUUUUACAACUCUCUUCUUCAAAUCUGAAGUAUUAAAUAACACCAUUUUAUAGAGGAAAAGCUCCAGCCACAAGUUGAGGCUAUUUCUUAAGGUCAAAUAAAAGAACAUUAGAUCUUCCAGAUGAAAAUCUUUCUUCUGCCUUAACCAAAUAACCACCAUUCUAUAAACAAUCUUAAUUGAAACAGAACUCAUAGAGAUCCUAAUGAUUAGAAAUAAUAUCAUAAACACAUUAGCUCCAAUCCUGCAAAUGCACAUUUGAGAUGUUUUCAGGGAUUAGAACAAUGCAGUAUAGAGAGGAAUUGACGUGUGUGUGUGUGUGUAUUUUAGGUUUUGCAAUUUUGUUAUAAAUAUGAUGGCCCAAAUUCAUCUUUCAGGCAAACCCUGUGAUUAAAACAGACAUUAAAUCAACUGUUAACAGUCUUAAUAAAUUCAGACAUGAUCAGCUGAAUGCUACUGGGACAGUUAAAAUAAGUCAGCCUUCUCAGUUGAUGGGGGGGGCCUUCUCUCAUGCAAGUAAGAUUUGCACCUACAGUGCAAAGAGAUUGCCUAGGGGUAUACAUAGGAUCAGUUCAGUAUCUUUGCUAAGGGCAGUGGUAAGAAGCGUCUGAUUUUUCUCUCUGUCUGUCAUUGUCAUACUCACGUGACCACACACUUAAUAUUUAGGGAGUAAAUCAUACUUUUUAAAGAGUAUCUACAUAAUUACUCCAUUAUCUUGUGGCUCUAACAGAGAUAGAAAUGUUAGUCUCAUCAAAAAAUCUCAUCGUGAUUUUUUCCCCCUGAUUCCCACAGCUCAUAUUACAUAUAAGGUUUUUCUGGCAGAGGAAUAUUUGUGAAUAUCACUGCUAAGUUUGGCAGAAUGGUUAAUGGUACUGAAUUGCAAUCUAAUUGAAUUAUAGCCCACUGUUGGAUUUAUGGUAAUACCUCUGUGCACAAAAUGACAAGCCAAGUGUUUCAAAGAUUGUAUUUCAGUAAAAUCUGGCAAUGUAUAGACAGCUGUUAACGUUUAGUCCUCUCAGAUAUUUCAAGCAAGGGAGAGCAUUGAACUUUCUGUUAUAACUUGUACUGAACAGAUCAGUUGUAGCAGGGCGGACUAGUUUAUUUUAGAAACCAUGGACAAAAAGCUAAUGGUAAGUCCAACUUUUCUGGAUGGAAAGAAUGAUUUGUUUUUUGACUGAACAGUGUUGCACCAAACAAUGGACAGUAUUUAAAAAAAAAGUUUGGGACCUCGGCACAGGGUAUUGUUCAGAUCUCCCAAAAAGGUGGUUGCAGUCUCAGUAGCAACAGGAGUCCUUCCUUGCACAAGUGUUUUCAGCUGGAUCAGGUGAGACUCUCCUAACUGCUUCUCUGCUCAGUUCUCACAACCCUGGUUGUGCUGGGUGAUCCUGUGUGACUACUUCAGUAGUGCAUUGUUGGGAGGAAUGGGUCAAAAGCAGGAGGUUGGCGAGGAGGAUGGCAUCAGAACAGAAGGCUGGGGAGGAGGAUUGUAAAUAUGCACAGGUGACCUUGCAGCUAGGAGUGCGUAAAGUCUGGGGAGCAGCAGUGUAGAAAAACAUAUAAAUUAUGCCUGCUGCUGUUUGUACUCGGGGUUUGGUGAGUGGCACAUCUGUGCAUAGACAACACGGGUGUUUGCUGGACUCGGAGGCACCCUAUGAGAAGUGCUUGAGCUCCUGGCCUUGGUACAGAGGAGAUCAAAGAAAGCUACAGCACCCCUGUCAUUGAAAACUGGGCCGACCAGCGUUCAGUCAGCUGUGAAAUAAGAUCAGCAACUCAUGAUUUCCUGUGGGUUGCCUUCUGCGUCGUGGUUUAACAAGGCCCUGGGAACGUGGCUAUAGAGCCACACGGAUCACGGUGCUUUGCUUUCUGCUGCUUAAAAUUGCUGUUGCCCUCUACAGAAAUCUAUUUCCAAGAUUCUGUGUUUUCCCCCAGAAUAAAUAGAAUUCUAUAUUAUUAUCUAAGUAUUUGUGGACUUAAUUAUAUGUUUUGCAUUUAUCACUGGUUUUGCCCUAUUAAAUUUCCUUAACCAUAGCUGGAGCAAGAGAGACACUGUAGAACUGCAGUCAGCUGGGGUAGGGUAAACAGGAGCAUCACAAAAUAGGGCAGCCCAACAAAAGCAGGGCUUUCCUGUUGCAUUUCAGCAGUGAAUGACUCCACUCGAUUUAAGCUAUUGGCUUAGCAAACUGUCAGAAAAUACCCCUUGGCUGCCAUUUCCCAGGCCUUACCUAACUUCUGAAGGAUUUAUUUUGUUAAAACUGAUAAAGAUCAGCUAACAAUUUAGUGCCAAAGUAUGGGAGAAGUACUUACCCCCACAGCUGCUCUUAUUUAGUCCAUUUUCUACACCGUGAGGGAUCCAGAUUUUCCCUUGACAUUUCACAAUCUAUAAAGUAUGACUUAACAAGCUUUAAGUUGGUUACUGGAUCUUAGUCUCAAUACAGUACAUUUACCAGCUUGUCAGGGCUUCAGCUUUGCUUUCCCCCUGCGGCACACUUGGAUUUGGUUCAGAAUGCUGUCUAUCUAUCUACAGAUAGACUGUACCUAUCUCACAUAGCUCUGUCCUGAUUACUUUCAACAUAAAGUAGUGAUACAAUUUUCUCCUGGAAUCAACUGGAGUAACUCAAGAAUCGAAUGCCAAAACAUCUUGCUGUAGCUUCGAUCUGUCUUCCCCUGUCCAUCCCCUUAAUUCAGGAGACUUAAGAAGCAUUUGUAUUUCUACCUAAUUAUUUGCCAGGAGUUUAAUGCAAUACUAGUUCCACACCACUGAAGAAAUCCUUUCUGUUCUUUCAUUUGCAGUACAAAAUUCUCAUAUUUAAAAGCAGGAACAUAGCACUCCAGCACACAUCACAGUAUUACUUAACCUGGAGUCUUGACUGGAGCAAUUGCUUGGAUCUUGCUCCUUUGGAGGAGUUGAGAUACAGAGUUGUGUUGAUUACUUUGUUACUACAGUUCACAAUACAGACUCACCUGUAUCAUUCAAAGCAGCGAGCUACUGUUUCAAAAAUAAUAGCAUUACAAGUGUUCCAGUGGACAGGCUCCCUGCUCAAGUCUCCAGGCGUGGAUAGGUGAUGUGUGGUGGUUGGACACACAUUUUCAGAAGACACAACUGCCC
Molecule: long non-coding RNA, 4757 nt
Organism: Cygnus atratus (black swan)
Lineage: Eukaryota; Metazoa; Chordata; Aves; Anseriformes; Anatidae
Exons: 3
Source: RefSeq, a predicted model, not a curated record